RNAcentral lists this ribosomal RNA (497 nucleotides) under uncultured bacterium. RNAcentral's name for it is "partial 16S ribosomal RNA". It matches the Rfam family "Bacterial small subunit ribosomal RNA", at positions 28 to 507 of the family's 1533-position model. The record is from RNAcentral.
GAUGAACGCUGGCGGCGUGCCUAACACAUGCAAGUCGAGCGAACAGAUCAGGAGCUUGCUCCUUUGACGUUAGCGGCGGACGGGUGAGUAACACGUGGGCAACCUACCUAUUGGACUGGGAUACCUACGGGAAAUCGGAGCUAAUACCGGAUAAUAUUUCGACACGCAUGGUUCGCUCGUGAAAGAUGGUUUUGCUUUCACUAAUAGAUGGCCAAGCGCCGUAUUAGUUAGUUGGUGAGGUAGCGGAUUAGCAAGGCGACGAUACGUACCCGACCUGAGCGGGUGAUCGGCCACACUGGAACUGAGACUCAGUCCAGACCCCGACAGGAAGCAGCAGUAGGGAAUCUUCCGCGAGGGGCGAAAGCCUGACGGAGCAACGCCGCGUGAGUGAUGAAGGACUUCUGAUCGUAGAGCGCUGUUGUUAGGGAAGAACAAACGUGUAAUUAACUGUGCACGUCAUGACGGUACCGAAACAGAAAGCCACGGCUAACUACGUG